AAAUGUUAUAAUUUGAUAAUUAUUUGAUAAUUAAAUUUGAUUGCAAUACGUGCUGUCUUUGCAUUGCCUCUACAUAAACUAUCAAUGCAUAUUUCAACAGGUGCACCUAUUAUUAAAGCUUCAGGCAUCAUAGG
Molecule: long non-coding RNA, 134 nt
Organism: Haliotis rubra (blacklip abalone)
Lineage: Eukaryota; Metazoa; Mollusca; Gastropoda; Lepetellida; Haliotidae
Exons: 3
Source: RefSeq, a predicted model, not a curated record